GGCUAUAUGCUACAUGUGGGAGUGUGAGAUGUGAGGAAGUGGGUGGUGACAGAUCAGACUGACCUCAGUGCCUCUUAGGAGCCGGGCCAGCAACAAGUUUUCCACCCACCCUCCCUUUGCUGCUUUGGGCCUGGUGGGUUGUCACAGCGAGGCAGGGGUGUGUCUUUGCCAAAUAAGGAAUGGUUUGGUAGAUUAGAUGAAAAAGGGGGAUAAUGGCC
This is a non-coding RNA of Pelobates cultripes (western spadefoot toad), 218 nucleotides long. NCBI's taxonomy places the organism in Eukaryota, Metazoa, Chordata, Amphibia, Anura, Pelobatidae. The record is from the annotation of a GenBank genome assembly.